Molecule: small RNA, 2020 nt
Filed under: Pan troglodytes (chimpanzee)
Lineage: Eukaryota; Metazoa; Chordata; Mammalia; Primates; Hominidae
Description: retained intron
Source: RNAcentral
GGAAACCAGCUGUGGACUGAGUGUAGGAAAGGGCCACACUUGGCUGGAGUUGUUGGUUCCCUGUGGCGCACGGCACAGCAGCAGGUGUAGAACUGAGUAGCCCCAGCGUGUGGUCUGGCCCUGCUGAGAGCAGACGGGAGGCUGGGCCAGCCCAUGGGGAGGGACUUGCCACUGGCAACAAGCCAUCUCUGUCAUGUAGGGGACGAUUCUGGUGGAGCAGGGGGCUUCCUGGCAGGCCCGUGUUGGCCACACCCUUGGUCAGGGUCACCUCUGCGGUAGCCCCCAGUGGGCGAAGUCGCUUGUCGUUGGGAUUUGUUGUAAAAGCCAAAUGCAGGAAGAGCCCUGGAGCUCGGAGUGGAGCCCUUGGGCUCCUGCUGGCAGUGCGCCUGUGGCCCUAGGUGGCCCUGGGUUUGAGAGCGGCAAGGAGGGCUGAGGUCCUGAGGACAGCCCUGCUGUGCCCUAGGAGGCCAGGUGGAUGGUACCCUGGCCCUUCUCAGGGGGCCCGGGGUGGAGCCACGUGGAGCCUGGGAUGACGCCCGCCUGUCCUGUGUCAAGCAGCUGCCAACGUGCUACUCUCGGAGCAGGGGGACGUGAAGCUGGCGGACUUUGGGGUAGCAGGGCAGCUCACAGACACGCAGAUUAAGAGGAACACAUUCGUGGGCACCCCCUUCUGGAUGGCGCCUGAGGUCAUCAAGCAGUCGGCCUACGACUUCAAGGCUGACAUCUGGUCCCUGGGGAUCACGGCCAUUGAGCUGGCCAAGGGGGAGCCUCCAAACUCUGACCUCCACCCCAUGCGCGUCCUGUUCCUGAUUCCCAAGAACAGCCCACCCACGCUGGAGGGCCAGCACAGCAAGCCCUUCAAGGAGUUCGUGGAGGCCUGCCUCAACAAAGACCCCCGAUUCCGGCCCACGGCCAAGGAGCUCCUGAAGCACAAGUUCAUCACCCGCUACACCAAGAAGACCUCCUUCCUCACGGAGCUCAUCGACCGCUAUAAGCGCUGGAAGUCAGAGGGGCAUGGCGAGGAGUCCAGCUCUGAGGACUCUGACAUUGAUGGCGAGGCGGAGGACGGGGAGCAGGGCCCCAUCUGGACGUUCCCCCCUACCAUCCGGCCGAGUCCACACAGCAAGCUUCACAAGGGGACGGCUCUGCACAGUUCACAGAAGCCUGCGGAGCCCGUCAAGAGGCAGCCGAGGUCCCAGUGCCUGUCCACGCUGGUCCGGCCCGUCUUCGGAGAGCUCAAAGAGAAGCACAAGCAGAGCGGCGGGAGCGUGGGUGCGCUGGAGGAGCUGGAGAACGCCUUCAGCCUGGCCGAGGAGUCCUGCCCCGGCAUCUCAGACAAGCUGAUGGUGCACCUGGUGGAGCGAGUGCAGAGGUUUUCACACAACAGAAACCACCUGACAUCCACCCGCUGAAGCGCGCUGCUGUUCAGAUAGGGGACGGAAGGUCGUUUGUUUUUGUUCUGAGCUCCGUAAGAACUGUGCUGACUUGGAAGGUGCCCUGUGCUGUGUCGUGCCUGCAGGGACACGUCGGAUCCCGUGGGCCUCACAUGCCAGGUCACCAGGUCACCGUCUCCUUCCACCCCUGCAGUGUGCUGUUCUGCACGUCAGGGACGCUGUUCUCUAUGCCCACUGCCCUCCUCCCUCUCCUGGCCCAGCAGUAUUGCUCACGGGGGCUCCAGCAGCCGGCGUGGCCCUCAUGAGCUACGCCUGGGUCUUCUGCAGACUCAUGCAGCCCUAUGGCCGCUCAGACCAAGGCGCAGAGCAACUAUCAGGGCAGCUCUGCCUCCUCCUCCCAUGAGGUGGGGAGAGGCAACAGGGCAGCCCCCAGAGGAGUGUCCUGGCCGCUGUCCUCCCGGGGCCCAUGAUGGCCAUAGAUUUGCCUUGUGGUGUUGGAUCAGGUACUGUGUCUGCUCAUAAGUACUUGUGUCAUCCAGAAUGUUUUGUUUUUUAAGAAAAUUGAAUUGUUUCCUGAAAUAUUCUGAGGUUAAUAUGUUAGUUUUCAUAGAACAUUGAGAGGCCCC